Molecule: long non-coding RNA, 1881 nt
Organism: Eriocheir sinensis (Chinese mitten crab)
Lineage: Eukaryota; Metazoa; Arthropoda; Malacostraca; Decapoda; Varunidae
Exons: 2
Source: RefSeq, a predicted model, not a curated record
UUCCUCUUAAAAGGUUUACAAGAGGAUUAAGAGGAAAUGGAAGAGGUUUAAUCCCCUUCUAAACCUCUCAAUCCUCCUCUAAAUUCCUCUUCCAUUUCCUCUUAAAAGGUUUACAAGAGGAUUAAGAGGAAAUGGAAGAGGAUUAAGAGGUUUAGAAGAGGACUAACAGUGACGCCGUUUCACACCCGUCAGAUGCCAACAUCAGCGUCGCCGGAGUGAAGGGGUUAAGUUAAGCAUGUAUAUUGGUGUAUGUUAACAGAGGGUGACAAAACACUACAGCUUCCCCCCUUGUGGCUUUAUUACAACAAUACAUAAUCAUCUCACUUCAUCAACAACAAUGGCACUCACAACCCACAUAACAACCAACGUCAAGUGCUCGCAUAAAUAUAAUUCAUUUUUACACCGUUAUAAAACUUAAGUUAUGGUAGAAUUUCAUCUCGACACUUCGCCCACUGUUCCGACAUGCAAUACCAACUAAGCCAUGAAUAAUAGAAUACCUGAGAAUGUCUACAGGUGGAAAUCAAAGUCCUAGGUUAGUGUACCAUCGACUACUCUACUGCAGGUACUUGUCAACCGGCCUCUUGCAGACUCCUUACGUUCUUAUGUUCCCGAAGGUGUUAAGCCCAUAUCAUUAAACCUAUCGGCACCUCAGUUAACCCGUUGGAAAAGCCUGUCGUAGAAGAUGCCGAGUUUCGUGGAAGUUUCGUCGUGGAAGAUGCUGAAUGGGAGCGGCCUCUUUUUGUUGCCCUUGAGCCGCAUCCUUUGAUAUAAAAAAAAGUUCUGUGAUCCUAGUGACAGUUUUACAUGACUCCUGCGCUGUGAACGGGAAAACUCGACUAAGAAAAUCCAGUUAAUCUUCUCUGGGGCCUUGGGAAAUUGUCAUGGUAGGAGCUUAACCCUUAGACGACAGCAGUGUUUAAAGAGUAGCUCCCCACAAAAAUGACCUUAGUAUCGUAGCAUAAACAUAGAAGGGAAGGGAAGGGAAGGAAAGGAAAGGAUGAGAAGGGGAGGGGAGGGGAGGGAAGGGAAGGAGAAGAGAAGGAAGGGGAUGCAUAGUUACGCCGCAUAAUGGAUGUUUUAACUAUCAUCUAUAUAUUCUAUCGCAAUCUGGAAGUGUUGUUAUAUUACUGCCACACAAAACUGACUGAAAUUUGGACCAUCUACAUAUAGUUCCACCACCGUUUAAGGGGUUAAUACAUUUCUUAGACUCCCCAUAACCCGGUAGCUGCGGGGAUCAUGUUUCUUAAUGGUCCCUCUAAGCGAGAAAAAUGAGAAAAAAAUCAUCACUCACGCAAACCAUUUCAUAAUAUAUAUCAACGCAUUUGUGAUCAGUUUCGGCAUCAUCUAUUUUUGGGGUUUAUAUCAUGGCACACAUUUGGCCCGUCGCUGCUACCGGGUUAGAGGUACUCCCGGCUACUGAGGGGAAUGGUUUACCUGUUAGUGUCUACCGGAUAGUUUCUAAACACUGUGGGUAAAGUUAAAUACGAGUAUAUGACUGGGUGGGGUUUGCAAUUACGGCACUGCAUCAACCGUGGUCAUACAGCAUCAAAGAGGAGAAUGGUUUCCUUGUGUCUACCAGAUGCUUUCUAAACACUGUGGGUAAAGUAAGUACAUGGCUGGGUGGGGUUUGCAAUUACGGCACUGCAUCAACCGUGGUCAUAUGGCAUCAAAGAGGAGAAUGGUUUGCUUGUUAGUGUCUACCGGAUACUCUCCAUACACUGCGGAUGAAGUUCAUUGAUUGGGGCUGCAACUACUGUGAUCAUAUGGCACCAAACACUCCUGUGGCAAUAGUACAUCCAUGACAAUAAAAUGGUGUGGAUUAGGAUGCCCUGACUCUCUCUCUCUCUCUCUCUCUCUCUCUCUCUCUCUCUCUCUCUCUCA